GACGAACGCUGGCGGCGUGCCUAAUACAUGCAAGUAGAACGCUGAAGGAAGGAGCUUGCUCUUUCCGGAUGAGUUGCGAACGGGUGAGUAACGCGUAGGUAACCUGCCUGGUAGCGGGGGAUAACUAUUGGAAACGAUAGCUAAUACCGCAUAACAGUAGAUAUCGCAUGAUAGCUGCUUGAAAGGUGCAAAUGCACCACUACCAGAUGGACCUGCGUUGUAUUAGCUAGUUGGUGAGGUAACGGCUCACCAAGGCAACGAUACAUAGCCGACCUGAGAGGGUGAUCGGCCACACUGGGACUGAGACACGGCCCAGACUCCUACGGGAGGCAGCAGUGGGGAAUAUUGCACAAUGGGCGAAAGCCUGAUGCAGCGACGCCGCGUGAGGGAUGACGGCCUUCGGGUUGUAAACCUCUUUCGCUCAUGGUCAAGCCGCAACACUUGGUUGUGGUGAGGGUAGUGGGUAAAGAAGCGCCGGCUAACUACGUGCCAGCAGCCGCGGUAAUACGUAGGGGGCAAGCGUUAUCCGGAUUCAUUGGGCGUAAAGCGCUCGUAGGCGGUCUGUUAGGUCGGGAGUUAAAUCCGGGGGCUCAACCCCCGUUCGCUCCCGAUACCGGCAGACUUGAGUUUGGUAGGGGAAGGUGGAAUUCCUAGUGUAGCGGUGGAAUGCGCAGAUAUUAGGAAGAACACCAGUGGCGAAGGCGGCCUUCUGGGCCAUAACUGACGCUGAGGAGCGAAAGCUAGGGGAGCAAACAGG
RNAcentral lists this ribosomal RNA (757 nucleotides) under uncultured Fusobacterium sp. Its description in RNAcentral is "bacterial SSU rRNA". It matches the Rfam family "Bacterial small subunit ribosomal RNA", at positions 28 to 776 of the family's 1533-position model. The record is from RNAcentral. Lineage: Bacteria; Fusobacteriati; Fusobacteriota; Fusobacteriia; Fusobacteriales; Fusobacteriaceae.